Molecule: ribosomal RNA, 393 nt
Filed under: uncultured bacterium
Lineage: Bacteria
Description: partial 16S ribosomal RNA
Rfam family: Bacterial small subunit ribosomal RNA
Source: RNAcentral
AUACGGAGGACGCGAGCGUUAUCCGGAUUCAUUGGGUUUAAAGGGUGCGCAGGCGGCCGUGCAAGUCAGCGGUGAAAGCCCGGGGCUCAACCCCGGAAGUGCCGUUGAUACUGCGUGGCUGGAAUGCGGUCGAGGCGGGCGGGACGGUGGGUGGAGAGGGGAAAUGCGUAGAUAUGCCACAGAACGCCGAUAGCGGAGGCAGCUCGCCAGGCCUGCAUUGACGCUCGGGCACGAAAGCGUGGGGAUCGAACAGGAUUAGAUACCCUGGUAGUCCACGCCGUAAACGAUGGGCGCUCGUCGUCGGCGACAGACAGUCGGCGGCCAAGCGAAAGCGAUAAGCGCCCCACCUGGGGAGUACGGUCGCAAGGCUGAAACUCAAAUGAAUUGACGGGG